AUUGAACGCUGGCGGCAGGCCUAACACAUGCAAGUCGAACGGUAACAGGAAGACGCUUGCUUCUUUGCUGACGAGUGGCGGGCGGGUGAGUAAUGUCUGGGAAACUGCCUGAUGGAGGGGGAUAACUACUGGAAACGGUAGCUAAUACCGCAUAACGUCGCAAGCCCAAAGAGGGGGACCUUCGGGCCUCUUGCCAUCGGAUGUGCCCAGAUGGGAUGAGCUAGUAGGUGGGGUAACGGCUCACCUAGGCGACGAUCCCGAGCUGGUCUGAGAGGAGGACCAGCCACCCUGGAACGGAGACACGGUCCAGAGGCCUGCGGGAGGCAGCAGAGGGGAAUAUUGCACAGUGGGGGCAAGCCUGAUGCAGCCAUGCCGCGUGUAUGACGGAGGCGUUCGGGUUGUGAAGUACUUUCAGCGGGGAGGAAGGGAGUACAGUUAAUACCUUGGGUCAUUGACGUUACCCGCUGAAGAAGCACCGGCUAACUCCGUG
This 490-nucleotide ribosomal RNA is filed under the name uncultured bacterium. RNAcentral describes it as "partial 16S ribosomal RNA". It matches the Rfam family "Bacterial small subunit ribosomal RNA", at positions 29 to 507 of the family's 1533-position model. The record is from RNAcentral.